AAUGAACGUUGGCGGCAUGGAUUAGGCAUGCAAGUCGAGCGCGAUCUUCAAGAUUGAAACUUCGGUCGAUUUCUUGUUGGGAAAGCGGCGAAAGGGAGAGUAACGAGUAGUUACAUGCCCUAGGGUCCGGAAUAGCUGCGGGAAACUGCAGGUAAUGCCGGAUAAUAUCUACGGAUCAAAGGUGUGAUUCCGCCCUAGGAGUGGACUGCUUCCUACUAGCUUGUUGGUGGGGUAAUGGCCUACCAAGGCAAUGAUGGGUAGCGGGCGUGAGAGCGUGGCCCGUCUCACUGGGACUGAGACACUGCCCAGACACCUACGGGUGGCUGCAGUCGAGAAUCUUCGGCAAUGGACGAAAGUCUGACCGAGCAAUGCCGCGUGCGGGAUGAAGGCCU
This 392-nucleotide ribosomal RNA is filed under the name uncultured bacterium. RNAcentral's name for it is "bacterial SSU rRNA". It matches the Rfam family "Bacterial small subunit ribosomal RNA", at positions 29 to 417 of the family's 1533-position model. The record is from RNAcentral.